This 449-nucleotide ribosomal RNA is filed under the name uncultured bacterium. Its description in RNAcentral is "partial 16S ribosomal RNA". It matches the Rfam family "Bacterial small subunit ribosomal RNA", at positions 29 to 523 of the family's 1533-position model. The record is from RNAcentral.
AGCGAACGCUGGCGGCAGGCCUAACACAUGCAAGUCGAACGAAGUCUUCGGACUUAGUGGCGGACGGGUGAGUAACACGUGGGAACGUACCUUUUGGUUCGGAACAACUCAGGGAAACUUGAGCUAAUACCGGAUGAGCCCUUAGGGGGAAAGAUUUAUCGCCGAAAGAGCGGCCCGCGUUAGAUUAGCUAGUUGGUGAGGUAAAGGCUCACCAAGGCUACGAUCUAUAGCUGGUCUGAGAGGAUGAUCAGCCACACUGGGACUGGGACACGGCAUAGAAUCAUACGGGAGGCAGCAGUGGGGAAUCUUGCGCAAUGGGCGAAAGCCUGACGCAGCCAGGCCGCGUGAAUGAUGAAGGUAUUAGGAUUGUAAAAUUCUUUCACCGGGGAUGAUAAUGACGGUACCCGGAGAAGAAGCCCCGGCUAACUUCGUGCCAGCCGCCGCCGUAA